This 192-nucleotide ribosomal RNA is filed under the name uncultured bacterium. RNAcentral describes it as "partial 16S ribosomal RNA". It matches the Rfam family "Bacterial small subunit ribosomal RNA", at positions 1309 to 1500 of the family's 1533-position model. The record is from RNAcentral.
AACCCGACUACAUGAAGCUGGAAUCGCUAGUAAUGGCAGGUCAGCAUACUGCCGUGAAUACGUUCCCGGGUCUUGUACACACCGCCCGUCACACCAUGAGAGUUGGCAACACCCGAAGUCAGUAGCCUAACCGCAAGGGGGGCGCUGCCGAAGGUGGGGUUGAUGAUUGGGGUGAAGUCGUAACAAGGUACC